Molecule: ribosomal RNA, 485 nt
Filed under: uncultured bacterium
Lineage: Bacteria
Description: partial 16S ribosomal RNA
Rfam family: Bacterial small subunit ribosomal RNA
Source: RNAcentral
AUUGAACGCUGGCGGCAUGCCUUACACAUGCAAGUCGAACGGCAGCACGGGUGCUUGCACCUGGUGGCGAGUGGCGAACGGGUGAGUAAUACAUCGGAACAUGUCCUGUAGUGGGGGAUAGCCCGGCGAAAGCCGGAUUAAUACCGCAUACGAUCCACGGAUGAAAGCGGGGGACCUUCGGGCCUCGCGCUAUAGGGUUGGCCGAUGGCUGAUUAGCUAGUUGGUGGGGUAAAGGCCUACCAAGGCGACGAUCAGUAGCUGGUCUGAGAGGACGACCAGCCACACUGGGACUGAGACACGGCCCAGACUCCUACGGGAGGCAGCAGUGGGAAUUUUGGACAAUGGGCGAAAGCCUGAUCCAGCAAUGCCGCGUGUGUGAAGAAGGCCUUCGGGUUGUAAAGCACUUUUGUCCGGAAAGAAAUCCUUGGCUCUAAUACAGUCGGGGGAUGACGGUACCGGAAGAAUAAGCACCGGCUAACUACGUG